RNAcentral lists this transfer RNA (72 nucleotides) under Caudoviricetes sp. RNAcentral's name for it is "tRNA-Gln". It matches the Rfam family "tRNA". From Rfam's summary of the family: Transfer RNA (tRNA) molecules are approximately 80 nucleotides in length. Their secondary structure includes four short double-helical elements and three loops (D, anti-codon, and T loops). The record is from RNAcentral. Lineage: Duplodnaviria; Heunggongvirae; Uroviricota; Caudoviricetes.
UGAUCUGUGGUGUAAUGGGCAACACACGAGAUUUUGGUUCUCGUAUUGGAGGUUCGAACCCUUCCAGAUCAA